Physella acuta is the source of this 1084-nucleotide long non-coding RNA. RefSeq lists it as uncharacterized. The record is from RefSeq and is a predicted model, not a curated record. NCBI's taxonomy places the organism in Eukaryota, Metazoa, Mollusca, Gastropoda, Physidae.
UUGUUUCCAUUAAAGCAGCCGUCUGCAUUGUAUUGGGAGAUGAUUCCAGAACUAUGAGAUGGAUAGAGUAAAAUGAUCUUGCUUGACGCAACGAUUUUCCCUGCAGGAUCGAUCGAUAAAGCACGCCAUCACGUGAUGGAAGAGACCUUGGCCAGACCCCCCCCCCCCCGUCUGCUCCACUAGUGUCAGGCUAAUGGAGUCUGGUUUGUCUGGAAUGGCGCGUGCAUUAUGGAAACACAACCGGGGUUUUAAUGUAUGCAUUAUGGGGGCAGAGAUGUGUACUUAUGUGGAGUCUGCGGUUGUGGAACUAGGAAGUGAAUGGCAAGGUCAAAACAUAAAGUGAAAGCGUGAAAUAAUGUGCUCAAACAUUAUAGGAAAUCUACAACGAAGUCAAUCAAUAAUACCCUCAAACAUUAGAGGAAGUCUACAAGGAAAGCAGACGGAAAGAGAGAACAUUCAUUCCUCAAGGUGCAAACUGCAAUGGCAACGUGCCCUUUAGGUGUAUCGUCUCCUGGGUAUCUGAAAGCAACACGGUCUUUACUUUUCCAGCGACUGACCUGAUAACCUGGUCUGUAAUUAAUAAGGUGAGGGGAUAAUUAGUAAUUAGUUACAGCCGUAAUUUACAUCCAGUGAGCUCAUUAAAGUGUCAUCCAUACUCCAGUAUUGAAAAGACGCUUAAAAUGUGUAUCAACAAGAUAGCCAACAACAGACUUAAAGUCACUCUUACAAAAACGUGCGUGAUGGUUUGAAAUGAGAUUGAAUGAGAUUACCUCCCUUCCUACACAUAAAAAGAUAUCAUUUGCUUAAACCAAAGCUAGUGGUAUACGUUUUACAAGAAGCAAAUGAAAACCCUUUUUUUUUUUUGUAAAACGAUACUAGUUAAAUAGAGUAAGAUGUUUCAUUGUAAAUAUUUAAUUUUUUUUUAUAUUAGUUUACAAAAUAUAGCUGUAUUUUUUAUUUCUUUUCAAAACAAAAACAAAACCUAUUUCGAAACCGUUUUUAAGUUAAUUUUACAGAUAUAAUAAGAGUACCCCUGUAAUCCUACCCGAGGUGGAUGUCUGUUUGUUUCACAAUACAUUUUGAG